UAACACCAUGAAGCUCUUGAGGUGUUUAUAUGAUUCGCCUGGCAGAGCAUGAACAACAGCAGAAUCAUUUGCAAGUGAAGAAACACCGGACGUUAGUGAACAACAAGGAAUAGAAUUGGAAGAACAUAGUAGUUACUUACUAUUAUUGUUGUCUGACUGGUGUUACUAGUAGUUAUCACCAGCAAGUUGACUCCCAUCUGCAAGACAUUUUUCAUUCCAGAGAGAGGGAAGAAAAGAGCCAAAUAUUGGGUACCACUCUGCUGACUGGUAUUGUCAGGGUCCACGACUUUGAUGCGGGCUGGGCAGCGUGCGGCGUUUCUCAGUAGAAAAAGUGGAAGCAGUUGACUGUAGUCAUCGCCCUGGACGGGCUCACUUUGUUCUUAUGUCUCCUCAUCGAAACUGUGCACGGCUAGAGAAAGAGAUGGAAGAAAAGGAAAAAGAAA
RNAcentral lists this small RNA (443 nucleotides) under Histoplasma ohiense. RNAcentral's name for it is "hypothetical lncRNA". The record is from RNAcentral. Lineage: Eukaryota; Fungi; Ascomycota; Eurotiomycetes; Onygenales; Ajellomycetaceae.